GUCCACGCCGUAAACGAUGUCAACUAGCCGUUGGAAUCCUUGAGAUUUAGUGGCGCAGCUAACGCAUUAAGUUGACCGCCUGGGAGUACGGCCGCAAGGUUAAACUCAAAUGAAUUGACGGGGCCCGCACAAGCGGUGGAGCAUGUGGUUUAAUUCGAAGCAACGCGAAGAACCUUACCUGGCCUUGACAUGCUGAGAACUUUCUAGAGAUAGAUUGGUGCCUUCGGGAACUCAGACACAGGUGCUGCAUGGCUGUCGU
Molecule: ribosomal RNA, 259 nt
Filed under: uncultured bacterium
Lineage: Bacteria
Description: partial 16S ribosomal RNA
Rfam family: Bacterial small subunit ribosomal RNA
Source: RNAcentral